RNAcentral lists this ribosomal RNA (433 nucleotides) under uncultured bacterium. Its description in RNAcentral is "partial 16S ribosomal RNA". It matches the Rfam family "Bacterial small subunit ribosomal RNA", at positions 29 to 507 of the family's 1533-position model. The record is from RNAcentral.
AACGAACGCUGGCGGCAGGCCUAACACAUGCAAGUCGAGCGAGGACUUCGGUUCUAGCGGCGGACGGGUGAGUAACGCGUGGGAAUGUGCCCUUCUCUACGGAAUAGCCCUGGGAAACUGGGAGUAAUACCGUAUACGCCCUAUUGGGGAAAGAUUUAUCGGAGGAGGAUCAGCCCGCGUUGGAUUAGGUAGUUGGUGGGGUAAUGGCCUACCAAGCCGACGAUCCAUAGCUGGUUUGAGAGGAUGAUCAGCCACACUGGGACUGAGACACGGCCCAGACUACUACGGGAGGCAGCAGUGGGGAAUCUUAGACAAUGGGGGCAACCCUGAUCUAGCCAUGCCGCGUGAGUGAUGAAGGCCUUAGGGUUGUAAAGCUCUUUCAGCUGGGAAGAUAAUGACGGUACCAGCAGAAGAAGCCCCGGCUAACUCCGUG